This 144-nucleotide unclassified non-coding RNA is filed under the name fungal sp. RNAcentral's name for it is "partial internal transcribed spacer region". The record is from RNAcentral. Lineage: Eukaryota; Fungi.
UUUCAGAGUCAGGCCACCGGCGCACGCGGGCUGUUGACCGCGUAGAAAAUCUCCCGCAGGAAGAUCGCCAGGCUCGCCACCAGGGCCACCAUUGCGAGAAUGAAGAGACUUGCGAUCAACUUGGUGAGGUCCAGCAGCACGAUC